This 77-nucleotide transfer RNA is filed under the name Candidatus Colisoma equi. RNAcentral's name for it is "tRNA-Pro". It matches the Rfam family "tRNA". From Rfam's summary of the family: Transfer RNA (tRNA) molecules are approximately 80 nucleotides in length. Their secondary structure includes four short double-helical elements and three loops (D, anti-codon, and T loops). The record is from RNAcentral. Lineage: Bacteria; Pseudomonadati; Kiritimatiellota; Kiritimatiellia.
CGGACGGUAGCGCAGCCUGGUAGCGCGUUUGCUUGGGGGGCAAAAGGGCACGAGUUCAAAUCUCGUCCGUCCGACCA